CCUACGGGUGGCAGCAGUGGGGGAUAUUGCACAAUGGGGGAAACCCUGAUGCAGCGACGCCGCGUGUGGGAAGACGGUCCUCUGGAUUGUAAACCACUGUCCCCAGGGACGAAGAUGACGGUACCGGGGGAGGAAGCUCCGGCUAACUACGUGCCAGCAGCCGCGGUAAUACGUAGGGAGCGAGCGUUGUCCGGAAUUACUGGGUGUAAAGGGAGCGUAGGCGGGGAUGCAAGUUGGGUGUCAAAACUACCGGCUCAACUGGUAGUCGCACUCAAAACUGCAGCUCUUGAGUGAAGUAGAGGCAGGCGGAAUUCCUAGUGUAGCGGUGGAAUGCGUAGAUAUUAGGAGGGACACCAGUGGCGAAGGCGGCCUGCUGGGCUUUUACUGACGCUGAAGCUCGAAAGUGUGGGGAGCAAACAGGAUUAGAUACCCCUGUAGUUC
RNAcentral lists this ribosomal RNA (441 nucleotides) under uncultured bacterium. Its description in RNAcentral is "partial 16S ribosomal RNA". It matches the Rfam family "Bacterial small subunit ribosomal RNA", at positions 338 to 796 of the family's 1533-position model. The record is from RNAcentral.